AUUGAACGCUGGCGGCAGGCCUAACACAUGCAAGUCGAGCGAGCGGAGGACGGGUGAGUAAUGUCUGGGCAUCUGCCUGAUGGAGGGGGAUAACUACUGGAAACUGUAGCUAAUACCGCAUACCAUCAGAUGUGCCCAGGUGGGAUUAGCUAGUAGGUGGGGUAAUGGCUGACCUAGGCGACGAUCCCUAGCUGGUCUGAGAGGAUGACCAGCCACACUGGAACUGAGACACGGGCCAGACUCCUACGGGAGGCAGCAGUGGGGAAUAUUGCACAAUGGGCGAAAGCCUGAUGCAGCCAUGCCGCGUGUGUGAAGAAGGCCUUCGGAUUGUAAAGCACUUUAAGUGGGGAGGCGUUACCAACAGAAGAAGCACCGGCUAACUCCGUGCCAGCCGCCGCGGUAAUAC
This 406-nucleotide ribosomal RNA is filed under the name uncultured bacterium. Its description in RNAcentral is "partial 16S ribosomal RNA". It matches the Rfam family "Bacterial small subunit ribosomal RNA", at positions 30 to 526 of the family's 1533-position model. The record is from RNAcentral.